AACCGAUCAAACCAAUCACAGAGCACUUGCGGGCGCUCACCCCCUCUCGUGGGGGGUGGGGCAGUCUGCCGUUUACGGGUGCCGCCGGUGCGGGAAGCCCCCCUCGCGGGGCCCCCGGCCGGGCCGGACCCUUCAACCCAUUGAACCCUCUGCCCUGAAGCAGCUUCGUAUGGGGACACCCCUGCGAUAGUAACUGAGACAACUCUCAACAACGGAUAUCUUGGCUCUCGCAACGAUGAAGAACGCAGCGAAAUGCGAUACGUAGUGUGAAUUGCAGAAUUCCGUGAGUCAUCGAAUCUUUGAACGCACAUUGCCGGUCGACUCUUCGGAGGAGACCACAUCUGCCUCAGCGUCGGAAUACCCCCUCACGCACUCCCGCGUGGACCUGGCCCCCCCGGACACCCCGUCCGGGCUGGCUGAAAUGCAGAGGCUCGUGCGCGGCCCACUCGUGGCCCCGACUAGGUAGGUAGCUCGCUACUGCUAGGCGGAGGCUCGGCGUCGCGCGCUCUGGGCCCAAAAGGAUACCCAUCCAUUCAUU
This 538-nucleotide ribosomal RNA is filed under the name Ulva linza. Its description in RNAcentral is "eukaryotic LSU rRNA". The stretch from base 201 to 355 matches the Rfam family "5.8S ribosomal RNA". The record is from RNAcentral. Lineage: Eukaryota; Viridiplantae; Chlorophyta; Ulvophyceae; Ulvales; Ulvaceae.